AUUCAUAUGAUGAGUCCCAAAAAUAGGACUAAACACGCGUCCUGUAU
Molecule: non-coding RNA, 47 nt
Organism: Schistosoma curassoni
Lineage: Eukaryota; Metazoa; Platyhelminthes; Trematoda; Strigeidida; Schistosomatidae
Source: Rfam